ACGGGAAUUAGCGGGAAAAUCCUUUUGUAUGAAAAAUCUAAACCACUCAAGUUAGACGUUUGAAAUUUGGCAUGCAGGUACCUUAGGUACCGUAGUGGUGCACUAAGAAAGGAAUUCCCAAAAUUCUCACGGGAACGGGAAUUAGCGGGAAAAUCCUUUUGUAUGAAAAAUCUAAACCACUC
Pectinophora gossypiella (pink bollworm) is the source of this 182-nucleotide long non-coding RNA. RefSeq lists it as uncharacterized. The transcript is spliced from 3 exons. The record is from RefSeq and is a predicted model, not a curated record. Lineage: Eukaryota; Metazoa; Arthropoda; Insecta; Lepidoptera; Gelechiidae.